Molecule: small nucleolar RNA, 94 nt
Organism: Quercus robur (English oak)
Lineage: Eukaryota; Viridiplantae; Streptophyta; Magnoliopsida; Fagales; Fagaceae
Source: RefSeq, a predicted model, not a curated record
AGGGGGGCAGUGAUGUUGAAAAAACUACCUAUUUUCUGAGGGGAAAUACCCCUUUGAUUAUAAAAUUUUACCAAUGGAUCCUUCUGAGCCCCCU